AUUGAACGCUGGCGGCAGGCCUAACACAUGCAAGUCGAGCGGAUGAGUGGAGCUUGCUCCAUGAUUCAGCGGCGGACGGGUGAGUAAUGCCUAGGAAUCUGCCUGGUAGUGGGGGACAACGUUUCGAAAGGAACGCUAAUACCGCAUACGUCCUACGGGAGAAAGCAGGGGACCUUCGGGCCUUGCGCUAUCAGAUGAGCCUAGGUCGGAUUAGCUAGUAGGUGAGGUAAUGGCUCACCUAGGCGACGAUCCGUAACUGGUCUGAGAGGAUGAUCAGUCACACUGGAACUGAGACACGGUCCAGACUCCUACGGGAGGCAGCAGUGGGGAAUAUUGGACAAUGGGCGAAAGCCUGAUCCAGCCAUGCCGCGUGUGUGAUGAAGGCC
RNAcentral lists this ribosomal RNA (386 nucleotides) under uncultured bacterium. RNAcentral's name for it is "bacterial SSU rRNA". It matches the Rfam family "Bacterial small subunit ribosomal RNA", at positions 30 to 416 of the family's 1533-position model. The record is from RNAcentral.